Molecule: ribosomal RNA, 253 nt
Filed under: uncultured bacterium
Lineage: Bacteria
Description: partial 16S ribosomal RNA
Rfam family: Bacterial small subunit ribosomal RNA
Source: RNAcentral
UACAGAGGUCUCAAGCGUUGUUCGGAUUCAUUGGGCGUAAAGGGCGCGUAGGCGGCGCGGUAAGUCACCUGUGAAAUCUCCUGGCUCAACUGGGAGCUUGCAGGCGAAACUGCCGUGCUGGAGUGUGGGAGAGGUGCGUGGAAUUCCUGGUGUAGCGGUGAAAUGCGUAGAUAUCAGGAGGAACACCUGUGGCGAAAGCGGCGCACUGGACCACAACUGACGCUGAGGCGCGAAAGCUAGGGGAGCAAACAGG